Long non-coding RNA from Misgurnus anguillicaudatus (oriental weatherfish), 1440 nucleotides. RefSeq lists it as uncharacterized. NCBI's taxonomy places the organism in Eukaryota, Metazoa, Chordata, Actinopteri, Cypriniformes, Cobitidae. The record is from RefSeq and is a predicted model, not a curated record.
UGAUCUCCUCCACGAUUUUAUGUUUGACCUUAGAUGUUUUGGUCUGACUGUAUGCUAAACCAGGACUCAAAAUACUGGUUUGGAAGCGCGUCUCCUCACCCUCCAGAAGUUUUCUACAUUUGAGAGAGACAAUAUAAGGUCCAACAGAAGCGAACAGAAUCUGUCAGCAUCUCUCUGUAUUUGUCAGCAGCUCUGUGAUACUGUGAGUCUGAGCUCUGGCUGACAUCGCCGGUUUUCCUGCAAACUCACAUUUCUGCUCUCCUGCUCUUCUGCACAUUGUUGGGUGUAAAUCUGAAGCUCCGCCCCUCUGCAGCACCCAGCUGCACUCGAUUGAACGCCCAGACACACAAAACACAAACACAGACGUGAAUCCGAUGUCUCAUUUAGAGAUGCCCGACAGGGUGGAAACACCGCUUGUGUUUGCUUCACAGCAGCCUGGAGUCUGUGUUUGAUAGAUAAACUAAACAACCGGGAACAGACCGGUUUGUGACAAAAGGAAGAAAUGGUAUUUCGAUACGCACCGAGGACAGCGGUUUCUAAGAUAAGUCUCUACCAUCAAACCCUGCUGCGGAGAUCUUGUUAGGUAUUUGCUAAUGUUUCUGCCAAGGAACAGAGCAAGUAUAACUUCAUUACUGCAGUGGACAUAAAUCUCGUGUAAACGUGUAUGUGCCGGCCAAACACACACACUCACACUACAUCUCAGGCUGUUGAGUCAAAAUGAUGAACAACCUCUACGUCCGCGCCAACUUUUAUGGUCAAAUCUAUUACGAGGAAAGAUACACCUGUACCCAUCUCUCAUCAUAUCAUGCUGUUUUUGUCUUUAGUAAAAAAGGCAUUUCUUGGAUAUCUGACCAUGCAAUUGAUGCAAAAGAUGCUGCAGCAUGACUAGAAAAUGACCUGCUGUCAUCUGACCUUUACCCUCUGUCCACGACCUAAAAGGAAACACCCAGAAUCUGCAGUGCAGUGUGAAACCUUAUUACUCCCCCCUACUCCUCUCUCUCUUUCUCCCAGUAAGAUAAUGGCAAAUGCAGUUACAGAUGAGGAGAGGUGGUCCCACUUGUGACGUGGGCUGGUCCAGCACUGCAUUGCACCCAGACCACACCCCACAACGGCACCCACAUCCAGCCCACAGACAGACUAUGAUGCAUCUUAAAGCAACGAUGAAGGACGAUGAUAAGUUGCAUACUAUAUUUGAGGUAUAAACUGUGCUGCAGGGGUCGAUUUUGUGAAUCUGUAGCACAGCUUAUAGCACAUCAAGUUCAUCAAGUUCAUUUACUUUACUCUGCCAAUGUUCUUGCAUCAUCUGAUGUCUGUGCUGAAAUGCCUGUAUUGACCCUGGCAUAAAAAGCAGUGAAAUGCAUUAAAGCAACAAUAAUGUGAAAGUGAUUUGGAAGAUCAAAGCAGGCAUUUUAGCAUGAUUGCAUGCCUCAUACUGUCUGA